UGCUUCUCUUGAGAGCGGCGGACGGGUGAGUAAUGCCUAGGAAUCUGCCUAGUGGUGGGGGAUAACGUUCGGAAACGGACGCUAAUACCGCAUACGUCCUACGGGAGAAAGCGGGGGAUCUUCGGACCUCGCGCCAUUAGAUGAGCCUAGGUCGGAUUAGCUAGUUGGUGAGGUAAUGGCUCACCAAGGCGACGAUCCGUAACUGGGCUGAGAGGAUGAUCAGUCACACUGGAACUGAGACACGGUCCAGACUCCUACGGGAGGCAGCAGUGGGGAAUAUUGGACAAUGGGCGAAAGCCUGAUCCAGCCAUGCCGCGUGUGUGAAGAAGGUCUUCGGAUUGUAAAGCACUUUAAGUUGGGAGGAAGGGUAGUAACCUAAUACGUUGCUACUUUGACGUUACCGACAGAAUAAGCACCGGCUAACUUCGUGCCAGCAGCCGCGGUAAUACGAAGGGUGCAAGCGUUAAUCGGAAUUACUGGGCGUAAUGCGCGCGUAGGUGGUUCAGUAAGUUGGAAGUGAAAUCCCCGGGCUCAACCUGGGAACUGCUUUCAAAACUGCUGAGCUAGAGUACGGUAGAGGGUGGUGGAAUUUCCUGUGUAGCGGUGAAAUGCGUAGAUAUAGGAAGGAACACCAGUGGCGAAGGCGACCACCUGGACUGAUACUGACACUGAGGUGCGAAAGCGUGGGGAGCAAACAGGAUUAGAUACCCUGGUAGUCCACGCCGUAAACGAUGUCAACUAGCCGUUGGAAUCCUUGAGAUUUUAGUGGCGCAGCUAACGCAUUAAGUUGACCGCCUGGG
RNAcentral lists this ribosomal RNA (800 nucleotides) under uncultured bacterium. RNAcentral's name for it is "bacterial SSU rRNA". It matches the Rfam family "Bacterial small subunit ribosomal RNA", at positions 81 to 877 of the family's 1533-position model. The record is from RNAcentral.